CCUACGGGGGGCUGCAGUGGGGAAUAUUGGACAAUGGGGGGAACCCUGAUCCAGCCAUGCCGCGUGUGUGAAGAAGGCCCUCGGGUUGUAAAGCACUUUCAGUGAGGAAGAACGCCUGGUGGUUAAUACCCAUCAGGAAAGACAUCACUCACAGAAGAAGCACCGGCUAACUCCGUGCCAGCAGCCGAGGUAAUACGGAGGGUGCGAGCGUUAAUCGGAAUUACUGGGCGUAAAGCGCGCGUAGGUGGCUUGAUAAGCCGGUUGUGAAAGCCCCGGGCUCAACCUGGGAACGGCAUCCGGAACUGUCAAGCUAGAGUGCAGGAGAGGAAGGUAGAAUUCCCGGUGUAGCGGUGAAAUGCGUAGAGAUCGGGAGGAAUACCAGUGGCGAAGGCGGCCUUCUGGACUGACACUGACACUGAGGUGCGAAAGCGUGGGUAGCAAACAGGAUUAGAUACCCCAGUAGUC
RNAcentral lists this ribosomal RNA (465 nucleotides) under Vreelandella stevensii. RNAcentral describes it as "partial 16S ribosomal RNA". It matches the Rfam family "Bacterial small subunit ribosomal RNA", at positions 338 to 795 of the family's 1533-position model. The record is from RNAcentral. Lineage: Bacteria; Pseudomonadati; Pseudomonadota; Gammaproteobacteria; Oceanospirillales; Halomonadaceae.